ACCCAUGCUAGUAUUAACGGCUUUUCCUCCAAAAGAUCACUAGAUGGUGCCCCUUUUCUUCAUGUGUGACAAAGCUGGAUUUCCCAAGAGAGGUGCUACUGCCGUGAAGAUCACCAUGCACUAGACUUAAUCUGAUUAUUUCCUACCAAGCUAUCAUUCUCUAAGGCAGGACAGAGGAAGUUGUUGGCAAGAUGGGCAGAUGGAUGGCAAGCUGCCACAUGGCCUGAAGCGUGCAGUCCACAUUUAUCUAGACCCAGAGGGCUUAGCAUGGCACAUUUUAGAGCCUACAGAACAAAUCACUUUUCUGUAAGUAUCUAUGCCAUACAACAAAGCUCAAAAACAAAUGGACAGCAAGGAAAAAU
This 362-nucleotide long non-coding RNA is filed under the name Crocodylus porosus (Australian saltwater crocodile). RNAcentral describes it as "lncRNA (ENSCPRG00005012854.1)". The record is from RNAcentral. Lineage: Eukaryota; Metazoa; Chordata; Crocodylia; Crocodylidae.